Molecule: ribosomal RNA, 457 nt
Filed under: Neisseria bacilliformis
Lineage: Bacteria; Pseudomonadati; Pseudomonadota; Betaproteobacteria; Neisseriales; Neisseriaceae
Description: bacterial SSU rRNA
Rfam family: Bacterial small subunit ribosomal RNA
Source: RNAcentral
AUUGAACGCUGGCGGCAUGCUUUACACAUGCAAGUCGGACGGCAGCACAGAGAAGCUUGCUUCUUGGGUGGCGAGUGGCGAACGGGUGAGUAACGCAUCGGAACGUACCGAGUAAUGGGGGAUAACUGUCCGAAAGGACAGCUAAUACCGCAUACGCCCUGAGGGGGAAAGCGGGGGAUCUUAGGACCUCGCGUUAUUCGAGCGGCCGAUGUCUGAUUAGCUGGUUGGCGGGGUAAAGGCCCACCAAGGCGACGAUCAGUAGCGGGUCUGAGAGGAUGAUCCGCCACACUGGGACUGAGACACGGCCCAGACUCCUACGGGAGGCAGCAGUGGGGAAUUUUGGACAAUGGGCGCAAGCCUGAUCCAGCCAUGCCGCGUGUCUGAAGAAGGCCUUCGGGUUGUAAAGGACUUUUGUCAGGGAAGAAAAGGGGCAUGUUAAUACCGUGCUCUGAUGACG